This is a non-coding RNA of Epinephelus lanceolatus (giant grouper), 533 nucleotides long. The record is from RefSeq and is a predicted model, not a curated record. NCBI's taxonomy places the organism in Eukaryota, Metazoa, Chordata, Actinopteri, Perciformes, Serranidae.
AACAAUGAUGUGGAUCCAUGACUUUACUUGGAGAAAAUGUAACAUUAAUACCUAACAUCUUUGCUUCAGAUUGUUGCUCUCACAAAUGUUUCCCCUCCACGAGUCAGAGGGCACAUUCAGGUGAGAGGUAAAACAUUAAACAAUAUUCCCCCCAGGCAGGAUUUUGAUUGAGAUCGUCAGCAGUGAACAGUGAAAAAAAAAAAAAAAGGUGCUGUCAAAAACUUGUUCUAUGAAAUGCCACUCGACUGGUCAGAAACCUAAAAUGCAGUUUAAAAAUCAGAGCAACCAUAAAAAUAUAUUAAUUUCUCUCCUUUGUCACCUUUUGAAUAUAAAUAUAUAUUUAAAUGUAAUAAAGCAGAACAUGCAUCAACCAUUUGUAACAGAGUGCCUUAAAUAACGUGUAGAUUACACCAGGAACUAGGGAACACCAAUAAGUAACUAAGUUUGACAUGAUAUACCAGCAGUAGAUAAAAAAAAAAAAAAAUUAAAGAAAAGAUUAAAAACAUUUCAGCCAGCAUUUGGGAAAAAAAUGC